Molecule: non-coding RNA, 30 nt
Filed under: Rattus norvegicus (Norway rat)
Lineage: Eukaryota; Metazoa; Chordata; Mammalia; Rodentia; Muridae
Source: RNAcentral
UGGCAAAUCUGGUCAAGCACAUUUGGUCUG